RNAcentral lists this unclassified non-coding RNA (313 nucleotides) under Hevea brasiliensis (rubber tree). Lineage: Eukaryota; Viridiplantae; Streptophyta; Magnoliopsida; Malpighiales; Euphorbiaceae. The record is from RNAcentral.
GGGAGAUUACAAGCCCAUUUAGACAUUUAACCAAACUAACCAUUUUUGUUAAUUGAAAAUACCAAAAACUUCAAAAGUACCUCAAUCUACUACUACUGCAGUGGAAUAGUAAUAUAAUGUAUGAGUAUGAACAGUUUCCCCUACAAUAAAUUUAUACUGCAUUAUUUUGGUUAAAAUUCACUUAUUGCCUAAAAACUACCAAUAAAAUUUCUAAUUGAACUACUAAUUAAAUGUUUAAACUUCAAAUGUAUUCAAAAAAUUUUGAGAAAUCUAUAAAUAUGUUUUCUUGCUAGAUAUUUUGCAUGAAUCUUCC